GACGAACGCUGGCGGCGUGCUUAACACAUGCAAGUCGAACGAAAAGGCCCUGCUUUUGUUGGGUUCUCGAGUGGCGAACGGGUGAGUAACACGUGAGUAACCUGCCCUUGACUUUGGGAUAACUUCAGGGAACUGGGGCUAAUACCGGGUAGGAGCUCCUGCUGCAUGGUGGGGGUUGGAAAAUUUCGGCGGUUGGGGAUGGACUCGCGGCUUAUCAGCUUGUUGGUGGGGUAGUGGCUUACCAAGGCUUUGACGGGUAGCCGGCCUGAGAGGGUGACCGGCCACAUUGGGACUGAGAUACGGCCCAGACUGCUACGGGAGGCAGCAGUGGGGAAUAUUGCACAAUGGGCGGACGCCUGAUGCAGCAACGCCGCGUGCGGGAUGACGGCCUUCGGGUGGUAAACCGCUUUCGCCUGUGACGAAGCGUGAGUGACGGUAAUGGGCAAAGAAGCACCGGCUAACUACGUG
RNAcentral lists this ribosomal RNA (468 nucleotides) under uncultured bacterium. Its description in RNAcentral is "partial 16S ribosomal RNA". It matches the Rfam family "Bacterial small subunit ribosomal RNA", at positions 28 to 507 of the family's 1533-position model. The record is from RNAcentral.